UUUCCGUAGGUGAACCUGCGGAAGGAUCAUUACAGAGUUCAUGCCCUAACGGGUAGACCUCCCACCCUUGUGUAUUUAUACUAUGUUGCUUUGGCGGAUUGCUCAGCUUUUGUUGAGCCCCUAUUCUUAGGGAGCCGUUCGCCAGAGGAUACCAAAAUUCUGAUUAUCAUUGUCGUCUGAGUACUAUAUAAUAGUUAAAACUUUCAACAACGGAUCUCUUGGUUCUGGCAUCGAUGAAGAACGCAGC
This 247-nucleotide unclassified non-coding RNA is filed under the name uncultured fungus. Its description in RNAcentral is "sequence contains ITS1, 5.8S rRNA gene". The stretch from base 199 to 247 matches the Rfam family "5.8S ribosomal RNA", at positions 1 to 49 of the family's 154-position model. The record is from RNAcentral. Lineage: Eukaryota; Fungi.